CCUCGGUGUGAUAAAACCUGUCUACGCCGGUGACCGUGAAGCGUUUUUGGCUGGCUUCCAACCGUCUCGCUGGAGACAAGCUCCUUCACUUUUUGACAUCUGGCCCUC
Molecule: ribosomal RNA, 108 nt
Filed under: Lignosus hainanensis
Lineage: Eukaryota; Fungi; Basidiomycota; Agaricomycetes; Polyporales; Polyporaceae
Description: partial 28S ribosomal RNA
Source: RNAcentral